GACGAACGCUGGCGGCGUGCUUAACACAUGCAAGUCGAACGGUAAGGCCCUUCGGGUACGACGAGUGGCGAACGGGUGAGUAACACGUGGGUGAUCUGCCCUGCACUUCGGGAUAAGCCUGGGAAACUGGGUCUAAUACCGGAUAGGACCACGGUCUGCAUGGAUUGUGGUGGAAAGCUUUUGCGGUGUGGGAUGGGCCCGCGGCCUAUCAGCUUGUUGGUGGGGUGAUGGCCUACCAAGGCGACGACGGGUAGCCGGCCUGAGAGGGUGUCCGGCCACACUGGGACUGAGAUACGGCCCAGACUCCUACGGGAGGCAGCAGUGGGGAAUAUUGCACAAUGGGCGCAAGCCUGAUGCAGCGACGCCGCGUGAGGGAUGA
This 379-nucleotide ribosomal RNA is filed under the name uncultured bacterium. RNAcentral's name for it is "bacterial SSU rRNA". It matches the Rfam family "Bacterial small subunit ribosomal RNA", at positions 28 to 411 of the family's 1533-position model. The record is from RNAcentral.